Molecule: ribosomal RNA, 736 nt
Filed under: uncultured Salinivibrio sp.
Lineage: Bacteria; Pseudomonadati; Pseudomonadota; Gammaproteobacteria; Vibrionales; Vibrionaceae
Description: bacterial SSU rRNA
Rfam family: Bacterial small subunit ribosomal RNA
Source: RNAcentral
GGCGGUUUGUUAAGUCAGAUGUGAAAGCCCGGGGCUCAACCUCGGAACCGCAUUUGAAACUGGCAGGCUAGAGUCUUGUAGAGGGGGGUAGAAUUUCAGGUGUAGCGGUGAAAUGCGUAGAGAUCUGAAGGAAUACCAGUGGCGAAGGCGGCCCCCUGGACAAAGACUGACGCUCAGAUGCGAAAGCGUGGGUAGCAAACAGGAUUAGAUACCCUGGUAGUCCACGCCGUAAACGCUGUCUACUUGGAGGUUGAGGUUUAAGACUUUGGCUUUCGGCGCUAACGCAUUAAGUAGACCGCCUGGGGAGUACGGCCGCAAGGUUAAAACUCAAAUGAAUUGACGGGGGCCCGCACAAGCGGUGGAGCAUGUGGUUUAAUUCGAUGCAACGCGAAGAACCUUACCUACUCUUGACAUCCAGAGAACUUUCCAGAGAUGGAUUGGUGCCUUCGGGAACUCUGAGACAGGUGCUGCAUGGCUGUCGUCAGCUCGUGUUGUGAAAUGUUGGGUUAAGUCCCGCAACGAGCGCAACCCUUAUCCUUGUUUGCCAGCACGUAAUGGUGGGAACUCCAGGGAGACUGCCGGUGAUAAACCGGAGGAAGGUGGGGACGACGUCAAGUCAUCAUGGCCCUUACGAGUAGGGCUACACACGUGCUACAAUGGCAGAUACAGAGGGCAGCGAAGCUGCGAAGUGGAGCGAAUCCCUUAAAGUUUGUCGUAGUCCGGAUUGGAGUCUGCA